RNAcentral lists this ribosomal RNA (1157 nucleotides) under Sarocladium kiliense. RNAcentral describes it as "LSU rRNA". It matches the Rfam family "Eukaryotic large subunit ribosomal RNA", at positions 36 to 1106 of the family's 3401-position model. Lineage: Eukaryota; Fungi; Ascomycota; Sordariomycetes; Hypocreales; Sarocladiaceae. The record is from RNAcentral.
UAGCAUWUYMWURAKCGGAGGAAAAGAAACCAACAGGKAUKSCYYMRKUAACGGCGAAGUGAAGCGGCAACAGCUCAAAUUUGAAAUCUGGCCGCAAGGUCCGAGUUUGUAAUUUGUAGAGGAUGCUUUUGGCGAGGUGCCUUCCGAGUUCCCUGGAACGGGACGCCAUAGAGGGUGAGAGCCCCGUACGGUAGGACCACCAAGCCUCUGUAAAGCUCCUUCGACGAGUCGAGUAGUUUGGGAAUGCUGCUCUAAAUGGGAGGUGUACGUCUUCUAAAGCUAAAUACCGGCCAGAGACCGAUAGCGCACAAGUAGAGUGAUCGAAAGAUGAAAAGCACUUUGAAAAGAGGGUUAAAAAGUACGUGAAAUUGUUGAAAGGGAAGCAUUCAUGACCAGACUUGGGCUUGGUUGAACAUCCGGCGUUCUCGCCGGUGCACUCUGCCAGUCCAGGCCAGCAUCAGUUUGCCCCGGGGGAUAAAGGCGGCGGGAAUGUGGCUCCCUUCGGGGAGUGUUAUAGCCCGUCGUGUAAUGCCCUGGGGCGGACUGAGGAACGCGCUUCGGCACGGAUGCUGGCGUAAUGGUCAUCAAUGACCCGUCUUGAAACACGGACCAAGGAGUCGUCUUCGUAUGCGAGUGUUCGGGUGUCAAACCCCUACGCGUAAUGAAAGUGAACGUAGGUGAGAGCUUCGGCGCAUCACCGACCGAUCCUGAUGUUCUCGGAUGGAUUUGAGUAAGAGCAUACGGGGCCGGACCCGAAAGAAGGUGAACUAUGCCUGUAUAGGGUGAAGCCAGAGGAAACUCUGGUGGAGGCUCGCAGCGGUUCUGACGUGCAAAUCGAUCGUCAAAUAUGGGCAUGGGGGGCGAAAGACUAAUCGAACCUUCUAGUAGCUGGUUUCGCGAGCUCCUUCCCCCGAGAGGAAAAAACUUCGGGGAAACAGGCUUUCGAGUAAGGGUUUCUAUCCGUCCCUUGCCUCUUAGCAUAAUUGACAUCGAUAUGCAGUUCAGGACCCCUCGAGCUUCMRMGGUUCUCCUGCUUCGUUAUACGGUCUAGUUACUGCUAUGCGAUCGCUAGACUUUCAUCAAAUUCGAGCUUAGGAUGCAUGGCGUCAUGCUAGCUCAGUCAUACAGCUAGGCACUGACUCAUCGUAGGCAACGUG